GACGAACGCUGGCGGCGUGCCUAAUACAUGCAAGUCGAACGCUUCUUUCCUCCCGAGUGCUUGCACUCAAUUGGAAAGAGGAGUGGCGGACGGGUGAGUAACACGUGGGUAACCUACCCAUCAGAGGGGGAUAACACUUGGAAACAGGUGCUAAUACCGCAUAACAGUUUAUGCCGCAUGGCAUAAGAGUGAAAGGCGCUUUCGGGUGUCGUUGAUGGAUGGACCCGCGGUGCAUUAGCUAGUUGGUGAGGUAACGGCUCACCAAGGCCACGAUGCAUAGCCGACCGGAGAGGGUGAUCGGCCACACUGGGACUGAGACACGGCCCAGACUCCUACGGGAGGCAGCAGUAGGGAAUCUUCGGCAAUGGACGAAAGUCUGACCGAGCAACGCCGCGUGAGUGAAGAAGGUUUUCGGAUCGUAAAACUCUGUUGUUAGAGAAGAACAAGGACGUUAGUAACUGAACGUCCCCUGACGGUAUCUAACCAGAAAGCCACGGCUAACUACGUG
RNAcentral lists this ribosomal RNA (508 nucleotides) under uncultured bacterium. RNAcentral's name for it is "partial 16S ribosomal RNA". It matches the Rfam family "Bacterial small subunit ribosomal RNA", at positions 28 to 507 of the family's 1533-position model. The record is from RNAcentral.